ACGGGUGAGUAACACGUGAGUAACCUGCCCUUGACUUUGGGAUAACUUCAGGAAACUGGGGCUAAUACCGGAUAGGAGCUCCUGCUGCAUGGUGGGGGUUGGAAAGUUUCGGCGGUUGGGGAUGGACUCGCGGCUUAUCAGCUUGUUGGUGGGGUAGUGGCUUACCAAGGCUUUGACGGGUAGCCGGCCUGAGAGGGUGACCGGCCACAUUGGGACUGAGAUACGGCCCAGACUCCUACGGGAGGCAGCAGUGGGGAAUAUUGCACAAUGGGCGGAAGCCUGAUGCAGCAACGCCGCGUGCGGGAUGACGGCCUUCGGGUUGUAAACCGCUUUCGCCUGUGACGAAGCGUGAGUGACGGUAAUGGGUAAAGAAGCACCGGCUAACUACGUGCCAGCAGCCGCGGUGAUACGUAGGGUGCGAGCGUUGUCCGGAUUUAUUGGGCGUAAAGGGCUCGUAGGUGGUUGAUCGCGUCGGAAGUGUAAUCUUGGGGCUUAACCNNGAGCGUGCUUUCGAUACGGGUUGACUUGAGGAAGGUAGGGGAGAAUGGAAUUCCUGGUGGAGCGGUGGAAUGCGCAGAUAUCAGGAGGAACACCAGUGGCGAAGGCGGUUCUCUGGGCCUUUCCUGACGCUGAGGAGCGAAAGCGUGGGGAGCGAACAGGCUUAGAUACCCUGGUAGUCCACGCUGUAAACGGUGGGUACUAGGUGUGGGGUCCAUUCCACGGGUUCCGUGCCGUAGCUAACGCUUUAAGUACCCCGCCUGGGGAGUACGGCCGCAAGGCUAAAACUCAAAGGAAUUGACGGGGCCCCGCACAAGCGGCGGAGCAUGCGGAUUAAUUCGAUGCAACGCGUAGAACCUUACCUGGGUUUGACAUGGAUCGGGAGUGCUCAGAGAUGGGUGUGCCUCUUUUGGGGUCGGUUCACAGGUGGUGCAUGGCUGUCGUCAGCUCGUGUCGUGAGAUGUUGGGUUAAGUCCCGCAACGAGCGCAACCCUUGUUCACUGUUGCCAGCACGUUAUGGUGGGGACUCAGUGGAGACCGCCGGGGUCAACUCGGAGGAAGGUGGGGAUGACGUCAAGUCAUCAUGCCCCUUAUGUCCAGGGCUUCACGCAUGCUACAAUGGCUGGUACAGAGAGUGGCGAGCCUGUGAGGGUGAGCGAAUCUCGGAAAGCCGGUCUCAGUUCGGAUUGGGGUCUGCAACUCGACCUCAUGAAGUCGGAGUCGCUA
This 1224-nucleotide ribosomal RNA is filed under the name Cutibacterium acnes. RNAcentral's name for it is "bacterial SSU rRNA". It matches the Rfam family "Bacterial small subunit ribosomal RNA", at positions 102 to 1337 of the family's 1533-position model. Lineage: Bacteria; Bacillati; Actinomycetota; Actinomycetes; Propionibacteriales; Propionibacteriaceae. The record is from RNAcentral.